GGUCUUCAUUCAGUGCAGCCAGUAGUCUCCACGCCCUUCUACCACACCUUACCAGCGGACGACAACGGACAGCGGACACAUGGUCCGGUUAUCCGGUUAGGCGUGCCGGGCGUGGGCUCAAAAUAAAGAAUUCAAGCUUUUAUUUUGUCAUGUCCUUGGUGACGGUGGAUCCUCGCCUGGGGGUGGUUGUGGUGAGCAUAAAAGUCUUCUUCAGUCGAAGAUUCUCACAGUCUUCUUCAGCAGAGAAUCUUUGAAGCACAGCAGCUCUAAAACACGAAAUAAUGUUCGCUAAACUGUUUGCUCUCCUCCUGUUGGUGGUGGUGGCGUUUGCUCGUCCGGACGAGGAUGACUUCUAUGGCUUCUACAACCCAGUCCAGCCGGUGAGCUCGCCGGUGUUCGCGCCAGCUGUGCAGACCUACUCCACCAUCCAAUAUCCCGCCGUCCGAUCCAGCUUCCGAUAUUACUUCGACGACGACGAUGACUAGACUAAUUAAUUAAGAAUGACAUCUCUGUUGCUAUUCAUUUAUUAAAUGAACUCA
Long non-coding RNA from Hyalella azteca, 539 nucleotides. RefSeq lists it as uncharacterized. The record is from RefSeq and is a predicted model, not a curated record. The transcript has 4 exons. Lineage: Eukaryota; Metazoa; Arthropoda; Malacostraca; Amphipoda; Hyalellidae.